CAAGUGCUCGGCCUUUUACAUCCGGGAAGCGUCGGGUUUAGGUUACGUGGUUGAGGUGCGCUGUCGUGUUUUGUGCACUAAGAUGGUGAUUGAGGCAGAACUUUUCGGCCUAGUUAAAAUGCAUGAGAUUCAGGAGUCUUGUAGUGAUCGGUCAGCGACAGCUGUGAAACCUCUAGGUUCGAAAACCUGAGGUAUUCUUUUGGUCACGCGGCGGCCACGUGCCACCCAGGGCGCUGAGUCGGAAGCCGAGCGCGCAUGGUUUUGGGCUCUACAGCAAGGCAUUCGAUCGUGCACCUGAUGACCAGCAAAGGUCGCGAAUUCGGCUGUCGGUGUCAAGUGGCCAUCUUGAAUCUACUCCGCCACUGUUAAAGUAGUAACACCGAGUCCUGAUACCCGCCACAUUUAGAUCCGAGAAAGAAGCUGAACUAACCGUUCCAGUGGAUGACAGAAAACCUGACCAGAUGAUGAAGAAAUUCAAAAUGAUACGGGUGAAAUCCUGUUUAUUUCGAAUCUGGUGGUGUGCUGCCGAACGUGAUUUUUAAAUCUCAACUUCUUGCAUAUCGAAUGGAAAAUAAUCUGGGGUGGUGGUCUCCCAUAUAGGCCAGAAUAUUACUUGGGCAUAAGAAGACAAUAAGUGUGUGCUUGCUUACUAUAAUUAAAUAAAAUGGCUCGAUUCAUCUGA
Long non-coding RNA from Hyaena hyaena (striped hyena), 682 nucleotides. RefSeq lists it as uncharacterized. The transcript has 3 exons. The record is from RefSeq and is a predicted model, not a curated record. NCBI's taxonomy places the organism in Eukaryota, Metazoa, Chordata, Mammalia, Carnivora, Hyaenidae.